This is an RNA transcript of Vanessa tameamea, 604 nucleotides long. RefSeq lists it as uncharacterized. The transcript has 2 exons. NCBI's taxonomy places the organism in Eukaryota, Metazoa, Arthropoda, Insecta, Lepidoptera, Nymphalidae. The record is from RefSeq and is a predicted model, not a curated record.
CAACUCAGACCGCUUUGUUUUUCAAAAUCCAGUGUAUUUUAUUGAUCGCUUCGUGUAGAAAAAGAUCGUUUUACUGAAUAAAAUAAGGCCUUUUCUGGGAUUAAAUUUUGUUUUACUCACCACGUAGUCCCAGCUAUAUCUGCGCAAAUUGAAGAAAUAUGAUUCCGAAUGAAAUUUUCGCUGAAGAUAUGAUGAGUACUGUGAUACGUUAUGGCUUGUAUAUAGGUGCAGCAUUUCAAUUGGUAUGCUUAUUAGCGUGUGUAACGUUAACUGACGAACAAAGUGAACCACAUCCAUAUGAAAAGGCCUAUACUGAUAGCGAUGAAUGUAGCUCCGAGCAAUCAUCUCCCGGCCAUCGUGCCACAGUGUCCCGUGCCAGGCGUCAUGACAAAAAGAAACGACGUUGAGGGAACUUUAUAGAAAACAUGAAUUUCCACUUUUUUCCUCUGUAUUCCGAAGCUAGAUCAUAUAAGUCUGCGCUGACAUUAGUUUUAAGAGCAAUUAGAAUGUAAUCUAAUAUUUUAUUUUAUAUUAUAUAACUGUAUUUCAUAUAUAUUUCUGCAUUUAAUAAUUGUAUGUAUCAAAUAAAAUUAAAUCUAAAAUA